GUGGGGAAUCUUAGACAAUGGGGGCAACCCUGAUCUAGCCAUGCCGCGUGAGUGAUGAAGGCCUUAGGGUCGUAAAGCUCUUUCGCUGGGGAAGAUAAUGACGGUACCCAGUAAAGAAACCCCGGCUAACUCCGUGCCAGCAGCCGCGGUAAUACGGAGGGGGUUAGCGUUGUUCGGAAUUACUGGGCAUAAAGCGCGCGUAGGCGGAUUGGAAAGUUGGGGGUGAAAUCCCGGGGCUCAAACCUGGAAUGGCCUUCAAAACUCCCAGUCUUGAGGUCGAGAGAGGUGAGUGGAAUUCCGAGUGUAGAGGUGAAAUUCGUAGAUAUUCGGAGGAACACCAGUGGCGAAGGCGGCUCACUGGUCCGGUACUGACGCUGAGGUGCGAAAGCGUGGGGAGCAAACAGGAUUAGAUACCCCGGUAGUCC
RNAcentral lists this ribosomal RNA (425 nucleotides) under uncultured bacterium. Its description in RNAcentral is "partial 16S ribosomal RNA". It matches the Rfam family "Bacterial small subunit ribosomal RNA", at positions 354 to 796 of the family's 1533-position model. The record is from RNAcentral.